UGCGGAAGGAUCAUUAAAUAAUCAAUAAUUUUGGCUUGUCCAUCAUUAUCUAUUUACUGUGAACUGUAUUAUUACUUGACGCUUGAGGGAUGUUCCAAUGCUAUAAGGAUAGGCACUGGAAAUGUUAACCGAGUCAUAAUCAAGCUUAGGCUUGGUAUCCUAUUAUUAUUUACCAAAAGAAUUCAGAAUUAAUAUUGUAACAUAGACGUAAAAAAUCUAUAAAACAACUUUUAACAACGGAUCUCUUGGUUCUCGCAUCGAUGAAGAACGUAGCAAAGUGCGAUAACUAGUGUGAAUUGCAUAUUCAGUGAAUCAUCGAGUCUUUGAACGCAACUUGCGCUCAUUGGUAUUCCAAUGAGCACGCCUGUUUCAGUAUCAAAACAAACCCUCUAUCCAACUUUUGUUGAAUAGGAUGACUGAGAGUCUCUUGAUCUAUUCUGAUCUUGAACCUCUUGAAAUAUACAAAGGCCUGAUCUUGUUUGAAUGCCUGAACUUUUUUUUAAUAUAAAGAGAAGCUCUUGCGAUAAAACUGUGCUGGGGCCUCCCAAAUAACACAUCUUUAAAUUUGAUCUGAAAUCAGGUGGGAUUACCCGCUGAACUUAAGCAUAU
Molecule: ribosomal RNA, 609 nt
Filed under: Mucor circinelloides
Lineage: Eukaryota; Fungi; Mucoromycota; Mucoromycetes; Mucorales; Mucoraceae
Description: eukaryotic LSU rRNA
Rfam family: 5.8S ribosomal RNA (bases 226-378)
Source: RNAcentral